AUGGAGGAAGGACUGCAGAUGGCGGCCGGUGGCGGGCGCAAACGGCGGCGGCGACGGGGUCGGCGACGGCGUCUGGGACGGGGAUCUCCUGGCGGCGGACGGGCGCUCGAUUGGGCCGACCGGGGAGCGGAACCCCACGGUGACCGCGUCGCGCACGCACCAGUGGAACGCCGGCUCGCGCAGGCCCAGCGCGGCCGCAGCCUCGCAGUCGGGGCAGGGCGUCGAGGGGCGCGCCGGCCAGAGCGCCGCCGGCGGGUCGUCGAGGAGCGGCGGGAGGAGGUACGGAUCCGGCGCCGCCGUGCUCAUCAUGUACCACUCGUGCUGGCGCUGCAGCUCCCGCAGCUGCGCCUCGUAGUCCCACCCGCCGAACGCCGCCACCGGGGACGCGGCGCCCGCCAGGGACGCCAGAUCCGUCGACGGGAGCCGCUUGAGGAUGGUCCGCUCCGAGGCCGCCGUCGGCGCCAUCAGCAGCGGCUGUUGAGGACGUAG
Molecule: ribosomal RNA, 489 nt
Filed under: Triticum aestivum (bread wheat)
Lineage: Eukaryota; Viridiplantae; Streptophyta; Magnoliopsida; Poales; Poaceae
Description: partial small subunit ribosomal RNA
Source: RNAcentral